This is a long non-coding RNA of Heterocephalus glaber (naked mole-rat), 639 nucleotides long. RefSeq lists it as uncharacterized. The record is from RefSeq and is a predicted model, not a curated record. Lineage: Eukaryota; Metazoa; Chordata; Mammalia; Rodentia; Bathyergidae.
ACGGCGCCUCACCGGCUUUUCACACGAAUGACCGGCCUCAGCGAGCCCCGGGCUGCUGGAACCCAGGGCUGGACCUCUCCGAGGAACAGCAGAGUCGCCUGGCCGGGCGUGAUGUCAGCCUGGGCACGGCUCACGCCCAGAUUAGCUCGGCGAGGCUGGGGCUGCGGGCGCACCUCGGAUGGGGCGAUGACCUUCCCGUUCUUCCCGAACAAACUGUCUCGAAUUUUGAUUUGAUGCGAAGUCUUCUGGAUUUGCCAAAUGAAAAGGUCUGGCAAGCCUGGAGUUUUCUUUCAUGAGUCUGUUGUGAGGAUGUCUGCCUGCUAUGGAGCUGUUCAAGCCUCACAGUAUGGGACGAUGUGUCAAGACCUAUGAAAGCUGUCCCUCAGUACCCACGGAGGACUGGUUCUGUGACCUUCAAGGAAAUCAGACUCUGAGAUGCUGCAGUCCCAUGUAUAGAGUGGAGCAGCAUUUGUGUGUAACUGAUGUUCAUCCUCCCAGAAGUCCUCCCUAGAGGAUGGACACACCUACCAUGAUGGAAUCACUACGGAAGAAGUUGUCAUCUGCAUUGCUUAGGGAGUGAUGGUAAGAAAAGGUCGACAUAUUCAGUACGAAGGGUCUCGCUGUGUAGCCCAGGUAAUC